RNAcentral lists this ribosomal RNA (1441 nucleotides) under Enterobacter cloacae. RNAcentral's name for it is "bacterial SSU rRNA". The record is from RNAcentral. Lineage: Bacteria; Pseudomonadati; Pseudomonadota; Gammaproteobacteria; Enterobacterales; Enterobacteriaceae.
AAGGGGGCGGCUACACAUGCAAGUCGAACGGUAACAGGAAGCAGCUUGCUGCUUCGCUGACGAGUGGCGGACGGGUGAGUAAUGUCUGGGAAACUGCCUGAUGGAGGGGGAUAACUACUGGAAACGGUAGCUAAUACCGCAUAACGUCGCAAGACCAAAGAGGGGGACCUUCGGGCCUCUUGCCAUCGGAUGUGCCCAGAUGGGAUUAGCUAGUAGGUGGGGUAACGGCUCACCUAGGCGACGAUCCCUAGCUGGUCUGAGAGGAUGACCAGCCACACUGGAACUGAGACACGGUCCAGACUCCUACGGGAGGCAGCAGUGGGGAAUAUUGCACAAUGGGCGCAAGCCUGAUGCAGCCAUGCCGCGUGUAUGAAGAAGGCCUUCGGGUUGUAAAGUACUUUCAGCGGGGAGGAAGGCGAUAAGGUUAAUAACCUUGUCGAUUGACGUUACCCGCAGAAGAAGCACCGGCUAACUCCGUGCCAGCAGCCGCGGUAAUACGGAGGGUGCAAGCGUUAAUCGGAAUUACUGGGCGUAAAGCGCACGCAGGCGGUCUGUCAAGUCGGAUGUGAAAUCCCCGGGCUCAACSUGGGAACUGCAUUCGAAACUGGCAGGCUAGAGUCUUGUAGAGGGGGGUAGAAUUCCAGGUGUAGCGGUGAAAUGCGUAGAGAUCUGGAGGAAUACCGGUGGCGAAGGCGGCCCCCUGGACAAAGACUGACGCUCAGGUGCGAAAGCGUGGGGGAGCAAACAGGAUUAGAUACCCUGGUAGUCCACGCCGUAAACGAUGUCGACUUGGAGGUUGUGCCCUUGAGGCGUGGCUUCCGGAGCUAACGCGUUAAGUCGACCGCCUGGGGAGUACGGCCGCAAGGUUAAAACUCAAAUGAAUUGACGGGGGCCCGCACAAGCGGUGGAGCAUGUGGUUUAAUUCGAUGCAACGCGAAGAACCUUACCUACUCUUGACAUCCAGAGAACUUUCCAGAGAUGGAUUGGUGCCUUCGGGAACUCUGAGACAGGUGCUGCAUGGCUGUCGUCAGCUCGUGUUGUGAAAUGUUGGGUUAAGUCCCGCAACGAGCGCAACCCUUAUCCUUUGUUGCCAGCGGUCCGGCCGGGAACUCAAAGGAGACUGCCAGUGAUAAACUGGAGGAAGGUGGGGAUGACGUCAAGUCAUCAUGGCCCUUACGAGUAGGGCUACACACGUGCUACAAUGGCGCAUACAAAGAGAAGCGACCUCGCGAGAGCAAGCGGACCUCAUAAAGUGCGUCGUAGUCCGGAUUGGAGUCUGCAACUCGACUCCAUGAAGUCGGAAUCGCUAGUAAUCGUGGAUCAGAAUGCCACGGUGAAUACGUUCCCGGGCCUUGUACACACCGCCCGUCACACCAUGGGAGUGGGUUGCAAAAGAAGUAGGUAGCUUAACCUUCGGGAGGGCGCUACCACGUUGGAUAAU